This 191-nucleotide microRNA precursor is filed under the name Oryza brachyantha (malo sina). RNAcentral describes it as "MIR812 microRNA precursor family". It matches the Rfam family "MIR812 microRNA precursor family". Lineage: Eukaryota; Viridiplantae; Streptophyta; Magnoliopsida; Poales; Poaceae. The record is from Rfam by way of RNAcentral.
CAUCCGUUCCGAAAUAAGUUUUUUGAUAUAAUGUUUUGACUCUUCGUCUUAUUUGAAAUUUUUUUGUGAUUAAUAUUUUUAUUCUUACAAGAUGAUACACAUAAAUAAUACUUUAUGCAUGACUAAUUUUUUUUAGUUUUUAUACAAAUUUUUUCAAAUAAGACGAAUGGUCAAAUGUUGGAUAUGAAAAA